CGGGUACUUCGAGGCGGCUGCGGUUAGCAGAAUCCGCGCUAGGCCGUUGAUUCGUAACGAUAUCCUCACUGCUUUGGGAGCAGUGGGUCGCACGUUCGAAUCGUGUCACCCCGACCA
Molecule: transfer RNA, 117 nt
Filed under: Rubrivivax gelatinosus
Lineage: Bacteria; Pseudomonadati; Pseudomonadota; Betaproteobacteria; Burkholderiales; Sphaerotilaceae
Description: tRNA-Ser
Source: RNAcentral